UACGGAAGGCAGCAGUGGGGAAUAUUGGACAAUGGGCGCAAGCCUGAUCCAGCCAUGCCGCGUGUGUGAAGAAGGCCUUCGGGUUGUAAAGCACUUUUGUCCGGAAAGAAAAGCUUAGGGUUAAUAACCUUGAGUCAUGACGGUACCGGAAGAAUAAGCACCGGCUAACUUCGUGCCAGCAGCCGCGGUAAUACGAAGGGUGCAAGCAUUACUCGGAAUUACUGGGCGUAAAGCGUGCGUAGGUGGUUUUGUUAAAGUCUGAUGUGAAAGCCCUGGGCUCAACCUGGGAAUGGCAUUGGAAACUGGCUUACUAGAGUGCGGUAGAGGGGUGUGGAAUUCCCGGUGUAGCAGUGAAAUGCGUAGAUAUCGGGAGGAACAUCUGUGGGCGAAGGCGACACCCUGGGACCAGCACUGACACUGAGGCACGAAAGCGUGGGGAGCAAACAGGAUUAGAUACC
RNAcentral lists this ribosomal RNA (458 nucleotides) under uncultured bacterium. Its description in RNAcentral is "bacterial SSU rRNA". It matches the Rfam family "Bacterial small subunit ribosomal RNA", at positions 340 to 786 of the family's 1533-position model. The record is from RNAcentral.